RNAcentral lists this long non-coding RNA (544 nucleotides) under Junco hyemalis (dark-eyed junco). RNAcentral's name for it is "lncRNA (ENSJHYG00000014720.1)". Lineage: Eukaryota; Metazoa; Chordata; Aves; Passeriformes; Passerellidae. The record is from RNAcentral.
AAGGGAUUUCACAAACUGAACCAGAAGUGGCAUUGAAGUUGAAAAUGAUUGAAGGUCUGCCCUGAAUGUGUGCCUUUAUCUGAUCACAUCUGGCAAAGCCUGUAAAAUAAGAGCAAGGAGAAAAGAGUCUUCAGAAAGUCCCUUUCAGAAAGCUUGUGAUGAGAUGAUGUGAGGGAUGGGGCAGUCUUACACUGGAAGCAAGAUAAUUGAUUUGAGUUUGUUCUGCCACUGCAGCUGGUUACAACAAGCAGCCUGCCCUCUGCAAGAGCAGAGCAAGAGCAGAGCAGGUCUGAGCACUUCUGCUGGGGUGAAGUUCUCUGGCUUUCAGUGUUUGCACAGUGAAUUCAAUGUCAACAUACACACAGACAGCAGAUCUCAGAGGAGUCAGAGGAAAGAAAGCUCCAGUGAUUUUUUUAUUGUUGAAACAAGCACUGCUUCUAACUCUGCUGGAAUGCAGCUGCACACUGUGUACUGGAAGCCUGGAUGCCAGGGAAGUGUUAAUCCCUGCAGUCGAGGAAUACCAGGCACAUUCCCAGAAGAGUAA